This 465-nucleotide ribosomal RNA is filed under the name Vreelandella stevensii. Its description in RNAcentral is "partial 16S ribosomal RNA". It matches the Rfam family "Bacterial small subunit ribosomal RNA", at positions 338 to 795 of the family's 1533-position model. Lineage: Bacteria; Pseudomonadati; Pseudomonadota; Gammaproteobacteria; Oceanospirillales; Halomonadaceae. The record is from RNAcentral.
CCUACGGGCGGCUGCAGUGGGGAAUAUUGGACAAUGGGCGAAAGCCUGAUCCAGCCAUGCCGCGUGUGUGAAGAAGGCCUUCGGGUUGUAAAGCACUUUCAGUGGGGAAGAAAGCCUUGGGGCUAAUACCCUCGAGGAAGGACAUCACCCACAGAAGAAGCACCGGCUAACUCCGUGCCAGCAGCCGCGGUAAUACGGAGGGUGCGAGCGUUAAUCGGAAUUACUGGGCGUAAAGCGCGCGUAGGCGGUCUGAUAAGCCGGUUGUGAAAGCCCCGGGCUCAACCUGGGAACGGCAUCCUGAACUGUCAGGCUAGAGUGCAGGAGAGGAAGGUAGAAUUCCCGGUGUAGCGGUGAAAUGCGUAGAGAUCGGGAGGAAUACCAGUGGCGAAGGCGGCCUUCUGGACUGACACUGACGCUGAGGUGCGAAAGCGUGGGUAGCAAACAGGAUUAGAUACCCCAGUAGUC